RNAcentral lists this ribosomal RNA (439 nucleotides) under uncultured bacterium. Its description in RNAcentral is "partial 16S ribosomal RNA". It matches the Rfam family "Bacterial small subunit ribosomal RNA", at positions 338 to 795 of the family's 1533-position model. The record is from RNAcentral.
CCUACGGGUGGCUGCAGUGGGGAAUAUUGCACAAUGGGCGAAAGCCUGAUGCAGCAACGCCGCGUGAGCGAUGAAGGCCUUCGGGUCGUAAAGCUCUGUCCUCAAGGAAGAUAAUGACGGCACUUGAGGAGGAAGCCACGGCUAACUACGUGCCAGCCGCCGCGGUAAUACGUAGGGGGCUAGCGUUUUCGGGAAUUACUGGGCGUAAAGGGUGCGUAGGUGGGGUCGUAAGUCAGAGGUGAAGCGAUCCGUCUCCACCGUAGUGAGCCUUUGAAACUGGGGGACUUGAGUGCAGGAGAGGGGACUGGCAUUCCUAGUGUAGCGGUGAAAUGCGUAGAUAUUAGGAGGAACACCAGUUGCGCGGGCGGCUCUCUGGACUGUACCUGACACUGAUGCACGAGAGCGUGGGGAGCAAACAGGAUUAGAUACCCCUGUAGUC